This 331-nucleotide ribosomal RNA is filed under the name uncultured bacterium. RNAcentral describes it as "bacterial SSU rRNA". It matches the Rfam family "Bacterial small subunit ribosomal RNA", at positions 568 to 898 of the family's 1533-position model. The record is from RNAcentral.
UCCGUAGGCGGUGUGGCAAGUCGGAAGUGAAAUCUCUGGGCUUAACUCAGAGGCUGCUUCCGAAACUGCCGUGCUAGAGUGCGAGAGAGGCAAGUGGAAUUGCGGGUGUAGCGGUGAAAUGCGUAGAUAUCCGCAGGAACAUCCGAGGCGAAAGCGGCUUGCUGGAUCGCAACUGACGCUGAGGGACGAAAGCUAGGGGAGCAAACAGGAUUAGAUACCCUGGUAGUCCUAGCCCUAAACCAUCAGGACUUGGGGUUUGCCCUGUACGGGGCAAGUCCCGUAGCUACGAAACGUUAGUCCUGCGCCUGGGGAGUACGGUCGCAAGGCUGAA